GACGGGGCGAGAGAGCCGAAUAUAACACCCUUUGGGGAAAUAAGCUCCGCCGACUAGGAUCGGUAGUUGAACCCUGUCACCCACUA
Molecule: non-coding RNA, 86 nt
Filed under: Gallibacterium salpingitidis
Lineage: Bacteria; Pseudomonadati; Pseudomonadota; Gammaproteobacteria; Pasteurellales; Pasteurellaceae
Description: sRNA-Xcc1
Rfam family: sRNA-Xcc1
Source: Rfam by way of RNAcentral